Molecule: ribosomal RNA, 810 nt
Filed under: uncultured bacterium
Lineage: Bacteria
Description: bacterial SSU rRNA
Rfam family: Bacterial small subunit ribosomal RNA
Source: RNAcentral
GAAUUCGCCCUUAGAGGGUGAUUUUGGCUCAGGAUGAACGCUGGCGGCGUGCUUAACACAUGCAAGUCGAGCGAAGCACUUUUGCGGAUUUCUUCGGAUUGAAGCAAUUGUGACUGAGCGGCGGACGGGUGAGUAACGCGUGGGUAACCUGCCUCAUACAGGGGGAUAACAGUUGGAAACGGCUGCUAAUACCGCAUAAGCGCACAGUACCGCAUGGUACCGUGUGAAAAACUCCGGUGGUAUGAGAUGGACCCGCGUCUGAUUAGGUAGUUGGUGGGGUAACGGCCUUCCAAGCCGACGAUCAGUAGCCGACCUGAGAGGGUGACCGGCCACAUUGGGACUGAGACACGGCCCAAACUCCUACGGGAGGCAGCAGUGGGGAAUAUUGCACAAUGGGGGAAACCCUGAUGCAGCGACGCCGCGUGAGCGAUGAAGUAUUUCGGUAUGUAAAGCUCUAUCAGCAGGGAAGAAAAUGACGGUACCUGACUAAGAAGCCCCGGCUAACUACGUGCCAGCAGCCGCGGUAAUACGUAGGGGGCAAGCGUUAUCCGGAUUUACUGGGUGUAAAGGGAGCGUAGACGGCAUGGCAAGCCAGAUGUGAAAGCCCGGGGCUCAACCCCGGGACUGCAUUUGGAACUGUCAGGCUAGAGUGUCGGAGAGGAAAGCGGAAUUCCUAGUGUAGCGGUGAAAUGCGUAGAUAUUAGGAGGAACACCAGUGGCGAAGGCGGCUUUCUGGACGAUGACUGACGUUGAGGCUCGAAAGCGUGGGGAGCAAACAGGAUUAGAUACCCUGGUAGUCCACGCCGUAAA